UCUUAAUUAUAGACUAAGAGAAUAGAUAUUUUGAAGUAAAUGUCAUUUGAAACAUUGCCUCAUCAAUUUGCUGAUGGUUGUGCUGUAAUCUUUUUGCUAGGAGAAAAAUUAAGGGUUCAAGAGCAAAGUGAUCAGGCCUCUGUCAGCAACCAUUCCCCCGAAACAGAAGCUGCAGCCUGGGAAGAAAACCUCUCUCUUUUUGCUGCCUGUCAGUCCUCUGCAUCUUCAAACAGCUCAAGUUCGGACAUCAUAAGAGAUUUAGAAAUAGAUGGGAUGUGUUCAAACUCAUCAGAUAAAAAAAGAAGUGUGAAAACGACCAAACAAAAAUCACAACAUUCUAGGAGCAGCCUACCAAUAUCCAAGAGUAAGCGAAAAAGAAAGUAGCUGACAUUUUAUUUUGUGACAAAAAUUUCCAAAAUGGCUUUACUUCUAAAAUUUUAGAAGCAUAUCUAGGCUCAAGUUCCAUUCCCAGCAUUCUUCACAAUAAAACUACUUUUCCUGUUAAUAGCUGUAUAUUUAAGCGGUAAGAAAGUACUGUAUUACAUUCAGAAUGUAAGGUAUUAGAAUAUAUGCUGUUUUACUAGUCAUAACUGAUAAUCUCUAUGUAUAAUGGACUGCAAUUAUUAACGUCUUCAGGAUAUCAUUCUUCUAGGAUACCAUUUAAUUCAAAAUAUUUAAUUAGAAAAAAAGUCAAUUUAGGUCUUUUCAUUCUUUUCCUUUACCUCCAUUUUUAGCAGUUAUGAAUAUGUUUGACUCAUUAUUCUGGAUAAAUUGUGUAGCCCCUGA
This 786-nucleotide long non-coding RNA is filed under the name Pseudonaja textilis. RNAcentral's name for it is "lncRNA (ENSPTXG00000002907.1)". The record is from RNAcentral. Lineage: Eukaryota; Metazoa; Chordata; Lepidosauria; Squamata; Elapidae.